This is a non-coding RNA of Cutaneotrichosporon oleaginosum, 99 nucleotides long. The record is from the annotation of a RefSeq genome assembly. NCBI's taxonomy places the organism in Eukaryota, Fungi, Basidiomycota, Tremellomycetes, Trichosporonales, Trichosporonaceae.
UCCUCGUUAGCUCAGUUGGUAGAGCGCGACACUAGUACGACGCCGCCGCUUGGCAGCGGAAACAUGUCGAGGUCACUUGUUCGAGUCAGGUACGAGGAA